UUAAGCAUAUCAAUAAGCGGAGGAAAAGAAACUAACAAGGAUUCCCCUAGUAACUGCGAGUGAAGAGGGAAAAGCUCAAAUUUAAAAUCUGGCAGCCUUGGCUGUCCGAGUUGUAAAUUAGAGAAGUGUUAUCCGCUCAAGCCUGUGCAAAAGUCUCUUGGAAAAGGGCAUCAUAGAGGGUGACAAUCCCGUCUUUGGCACAGAACACUUGCGCUUUUGUGAUGCGCUCUCGAUGAGUCGAGUUGUUUGGGAAUGCAGCUCUAAAUGGGUGGUAAAUUCCAUCUAAAGCUAAAUAUGGGCGAGAAACCGAUAGCGCACAAGUACCGUGAGGGAAAGAUGAAAAGCACUUUGAAAAGAGAGUUAAACAGUAUGUGAAAUUGUUGAAAGGGAAACGCUUGAAGUCAGUCUUAUCCUUCAGAAUCAACCUGACCAUUGGUUGGGCUUACUUUUUGUUGGAUGGGUCAGCAUCAAUUUUGAUCAUUGGAUAAAGGACUUGGGAAUGUGGCAUCUUUAGAUGUGUUAUAGCCCUUGUUUGUAUACAAUGAUUGGGAUUGAGGAACUCAGUGUGACUUUUGUUUGGGGGUAGAAAUACCUUACACACGCACUUAGGAUGCUGGCAAAAUGGCUUUAAUCGACCCGUCUUGAAACACGGACCAAGGAGUCUAACAUGCAUGCAAGUGUUUGGGUGGAAAACUCAAGCGCGCAAUGAAAGUGAAAGUUGAGAACCCUGUCGGGGGUGCAUCGACGCCCGGUCUUGACCUUUUGUGACAGACCUGCGGUAGAGCAUGUAUGUUGGGACCCGAAAGAUGGUGAACUAUGCCUGAAUAGGGUGAAGUCAGAGGAAACUCUGAUGGAAGCUCGUAGCGAUUCUGACGUGCAAAUCGAUCGUCAAAUUUGGGUAUAGGGGCGAAAGACUAAUCGAACCAUCUAGUAGCUGGUUCCCGCCGAAGUUUCCCUCAGGAUAGCAGACACUCAUUAAAUCAGAUUUAUGUGGUAAAGCGAAUGAUUAGAGGCC
This 1015-nucleotide ribosomal RNA is filed under the name Hodophilus atropunctus. RNAcentral's name for it is "eukaryotic LSU rRNA". It matches the Rfam family "Eukaryotic large subunit ribosomal RNA", at positions 34 to 1029 of the family's 3401-position model. Lineage: Eukaryota; Fungi; Basidiomycota; Agaricomycetes; Agaricales; Clavariaceae. The record is from RNAcentral.